Molecule: ribosomal RNA, 657 nt
Filed under: uncultured Tuber
Lineage: Eukaryota; Fungi; Ascomycota; Pezizomycetes; Pezizales; Tuberaceae
Description: eukaryotic LSU rRNA
Rfam family: 5.8S ribosomal RNA (bases 279-432)
Source: RNAcentral
CUUGGUCAUUUAGAGGAAGUAAAAGUCGUAACAAGGUUUCCGUAGGUGAACCUGCGGAAGGAUCAUUACCAAUAUCUGGGAUGCAAAAGACACAGGCUCCCGAUAAAACACAUUCAUGCGUAUCCUUCCAUGUUGCUUCCCCAGGCCAGUGGCCACUGCUGCCAGCCAGGCUACUACUCGGUGACCUGGUUGAGGUGCCUGGGGAAGGCCCAAUUAUCAAACUUUACAUUAACUUACAGUCUGAGAAGGCCAUGUGCCGUAAUCUUCAAACAUGUUAAAACUUUCAACAACGGAUCUCUUGGUUCUGGCAUCGAUGAAGAACGCAGCGAAAUGCGAUAAGUAAUGUGAAUUGCAGAAUUCAGUGAAUCAUCGAAUCUUUGAACGCACAUUGCGCCCGCCAGUAUUCUGGCGGGCAUGCCUGUUCGAGCGUCAUUUCAACCCUCAAGCCCCCGGGCUUGGUGUUGGAGAUCGGCGUGCCCCCCGGGGCGCGCCGGCUCCCAAAUAUAGUGGCGGUCUCGCUGUAGCUUCCUCUGCGUAGUAGCACACCUCGCACUGGAAAACAGCGUGGCCACGCCGUUAAACCCCCCACUUCUGAAAGGUUGACCUCGGAUCAGGUAGGAAUACCCGCUGAACUUAAGCAUAUCAAUAAGCGGAGGA